ACCCGCACAAGCGGUGGAUGAUGUGGUUUAAUUCGAUGCAACGCGAAAACCUUACCACCUUUGACAUGUACGGAAUCCUUUAGAGAUAGAGGAGUGCUCGAAAGAGAGCCGUUAACACAGGUGCUGCAUGGCUGUCGUCAGCUCGUGUCGUGAGAUGUUGGGUUAAGUCCCGCAACGAGCGCAACCCUUGUCAUUAGUUGCUACAUUCAGUUGGGCACUCUAAUGAGACUGCCGGUGACAAGCCGGAGGAAGGUGGGGAUGACGUCAAGUCCUCAUGGCCCUUAUAGGUGGGGCUACACACGUCAUACAAUGGCUGGUACAAAGGGUUGCCAACCCGCGAGGGGGAGCUAAUCCCAUAAAGCCAGUCGUAGUCCGGAUCGUAGUCUGCAACUCGACUACGUGAAGUCGGAAUCGCUAGUAAUCGUGGAUCAGAAUGUCACGAUGAAUACGUUCCCGGGUCUU
RNAcentral lists this ribosomal RNA (462 nucleotides) under uncultured Rhodoferax sp. RNAcentral describes it as "bacterial SSU rRNA". It matches the Rfam family "Bacterial small subunit ribosomal RNA", at positions 919 to 1382 of the family's 1533-position model. The record is from RNAcentral. Lineage: Bacteria; Pseudomonadati; Pseudomonadota; Betaproteobacteria; Burkholderiales; Comamonadaceae.